AACAGCGGCGUCAUAAAGGGGUAGUGGCUUAAAUUUUGUUUGCUGAUCCUAUGAUGGAUCUGAAUCUGAUCCUGGGUCCUUCCUCCCAAGAUACCAGAGCUCGGUUUCGCGACGGACAGCGGGGAAACUUUUGGCCUCCUUUGAAUGAAGUUACCUGACUAAGCUCAAUAACUGUUGCUACAAGAUUUCAAACUCUUUCUUUAGUCUCAGCUUGCCCUGACAAAAAGUUACAUAUGUUUCCAGUUUGCUUUGGGAUACUAUAUGCAUGAAUGAAGCGUGUGUUUUUUAGGAAGUCUUUGUUAGGGGGUAUAUGAAACCAGUGAAAUUAACUCCGGAGACAUCAAAUUUUACAUGAUUGACAUCAAGAUUUAUCUUUUUCAGUUCAUGGUGUUAUAGACUUUUGAUUUUGGUGCCAACUCAUGGCAAGUCUGGUAUGGACUUUUGAUUUGAUGCCAACUCGUAGCAAGUCUUCCAGAGGGACACUUAAAUUCUCAGCUCUUGCCACAAUUGCAUUGC
This 516-nucleotide long non-coding RNA is filed under the name Triticum aestivum (bread wheat). Its description in RNAcentral is "long non-coding RNA (TAES_LNC017751)". The record is from RNAcentral. Lineage: Eukaryota; Viridiplantae; Streptophyta; Magnoliopsida; Poales; Poaceae.